RNAcentral lists this ribosomal RNA (507 nucleotides) under uncultured bacterium. RNAcentral's name for it is "bacterial SSU rRNA". It matches the Rfam family "Bacterial small subunit ribosomal RNA", at positions 146 to 667 of the family's 1533-position model. The record is from RNAcentral.
UCCCCGGGAAACUGGGAUUAAUACCGGAUGUGGCCCUGGGCCGCGUGGUCUGGGAGCUGAAGGCGAAAGCCGCUUCAGGAUGGGCUCGCGUCCGAUUAGCUAGUUGGCGGGGUAACGGCCCACCAAGGCGAUGACCGGUAGGUGGUCUGAGAGGAUGGUCACCCGCACUGGGACUGAGACACUGCCCAGACUCCUACGGGAGGCUGCAGUCGAGAAUCUUCCGCAAUGGGGGAAACCCUGACGGAGCGAUGCCGCGUGGAGGACGAAGGCCUUCGGGUCGUAAACUCCUGUAACCCGGGACGAAGAUCUGACGGUACCGGGGAAGUAAGCCACGGCUAACUACGUGCCAGCAGCCGCGGUAAUACGUAGGUGGCGAGCGUUAUUCGGAAUUACUGGGCGUAAAGGGUUCGUAGGGGGUCUGUCAAGUCCGGUGUGAAAGCCCGGGGCUCAACCCCGGAAGGGCACUGGAAACUGGCGGGCUUUGAGGGCAGGAGAGGGAAGCGGAAU